RNAcentral lists this ribosomal RNA (253 nucleotides) under uncultured bacterium. RNAcentral's name for it is "partial 16S ribosomal RNA". It matches the Rfam family "Bacterial small subunit ribosomal RNA", at positions 524 to 776 of the family's 1533-position model. The record is from RNAcentral.
UACGAAGGGAGCUAGCGUUGUUCGGAAUCACUGGGCGUAAAGCGCACGUAGGCGGAUUUGUCAGUCAGGGGUGAAAUCCCGGGGCUCAACCUCGGAACUGCCUUUGAUACAGCAAGUCUUGAGUUCGAGAGAGGUGGGUGGAAUUCCUAGUGUAGAGGUGAAAUUCGUAGAUAUUAGGAAGAACACCGGUGGCGAAGGCGGUUCUCUGGGCCUUACCUGACGCUGAGGAGCGAAAGCGUGGGGAGCGAACAGG